UACGUAGGGUCCGAGCGUUGUCCGGAAUUACUGGGCGUAAAGAGCUCGUAGGUGGUUUGUCGCGUUGUCCGUGAAAACUCACAGCUCAACUGUGAGCGUGCGGGCGAUACGGGCAGACUGGAGUACUGCAGGGGAGACUGGAAUUCCUGGUGUAGCGGUGGAAUGCGCAGAUAUCAGGAGGAACACCGGUGGCGAAGGCGGGUCUCUGGGCAGUAACUGACGCUGAGGAGCGAAAGCGUGGGGAGCGAACAGG
This 253-nucleotide ribosomal RNA is filed under the name uncultured bacterium. RNAcentral describes it as "partial 16S ribosomal RNA". It matches the Rfam family "Bacterial small subunit ribosomal RNA", at positions 524 to 776 of the family's 1533-position model. The record is from RNAcentral.